Molecule: ribosomal RNA, 466 nt
Filed under: uncultured bacterium
Lineage: Bacteria
Description: partial 16S ribosomal RNA
Rfam family: Bacterial small subunit ribosomal RNA
Source: RNAcentral
GAUGAACGCUGGCGGCGUGCUUAACACAUGCAAGUCGAACGAUGAAGCCCAGCUUGCUGGGUGGAUUAGUGGCGAACGGGUGAGUAACACGUGAGUAACCUGCCCUUAACUCUGGGAUAAGCCUGGGAAACUGGGUCUAAUACCGGAUAGGAGCGUCCACCGCAUGGUGGGUGUUGGAAAGACUUAUCGGUUUUGGAUGGACUCGCGGCCUAUCAGCUUGUUGGUGAGGUAAUGGCUCACCAAGGCGACGACGGGUAGCCGGCCUGAGAGGGUGACCGGCCACACUGGGACUGAGACACGGCCCAGACUCCUACGGGAGGCAGCAGUGGGGAAUAUUGCACAAUGGGCGAAAGCCUGAUGCAGCGACGCCGCGUGAGGGAUGACGGCCUUCGGGUUGUAAACCUCUUUCAGUAGGGAAGAAGCGAAAGUGACGGUACCUGCAGAAGAAGCACCGGCUAACUACGUG